Molecule: unclassified non-coding RNA, 6334 nt
Filed under: Lucilia cuprina (Australian sheep blowfly)
Lineage: Eukaryota; Metazoa; Arthropoda; Insecta; Diptera; Calliphoridae
Description: uncharacterized LOC111684831, transcript variant X4
Source: RNAcentral
AAUGACGCUAAAAUAGUAUUUUUGGCGUCUUUCUUUAAAACAAACUCUCUUUGUAGAAAUUUUAUAAGAUUUUAUUAAUUAUAAUUAAUUAUGCACAAAGUAACUUAAAAUCACACAAAGAAACAAGAUUUUAUUAAUUAUAAGAAUACAGACCAACUUUAAAAUAAAGUCUAUAGGAAUUUUAAAACUAAAACACCAUGACCACUAAAAAUAUUCCUGUAUCGUUUGAAUUUUUCAAAAAAUACACCUACCAUGAAGAAUGGGUUGAAAGGAUGUUAAAAGUCAAGGCGAAUGGCCACCAAGAAACCUACGAAGCUCUGUUAAAUAGCGAGGAAUCAAAGGAGAAAGCCUUGAGAUCAUAUUAUGAAGCGUUCUAUUUAAAACCACAAAUUAGAGAAAAAUCUCACAUACGUUUAAAGGCAGUACCUAAGAAAAUUAAAGAUAAAUUAUUAGCAAUACCAAUGCAGGACGCUAGUAUGGAAAAUUAUGAGAAGGUUUGUGAUAACAAUUCCAAUGAAUUAGUGCAAGAUGCAAUUGGCGAAAUUGCAGUUGCAGAACAGUUGAAGAUAGGAGAAUGCAGUAUAUCUAAAAAUGAAGAACAGAAACAACGCAUUUUAAUGACUGCAAAAGAUGUUCGUGAUGUAGAUGAUGGACAGGUGGUGGAAGAUGAUAGUGAACCACUUGGUUCACCAGAUGUUAGUUCAAUCCCAAAGCUAGCAAAUGCCAAAGUCAAUUCACCUGUUAAAAUACAAUGCAAAGAACUGCCUUUAACUCUUCCAACCAAAGCUUUAACUUCUUCGGACGGCAACAUUAAAACAAAUUCAAAACCGGUCAUUGGAAAAAUAAUUGAACAACAAACUGCUGUUACAACUAAAGUUUUAACUGAUAAACAAGCCGAACUAAUGGAAACUAACAACAAUAAUAAUAAACCAGAAAUGGCCAAUACAGAAACCAACAAAUCCCUUCCCAUUUUUAAUGCUGAUAACGCGAAACAUUUUAACUAUAAAGACUUGGUACCCUAUAUACAUUGUUGUCCCUUGACGUUAAAGGAAUUUCGUAAAUAUAGUAAUAUCAGACAAUUGACCAAAGAAUUAUGUAAAACAAAACAUAUGGAUGAUAAACAUCAACGUGUAAUAGAACAACGUUCGUAUAUAUUAUUUUAUUUAGCACCUGAACAUCGAAAAAUUACACCACUUAAUAAAAUACAAAUGUUAGACAAUUGUCCGGAAUAUAUAAAAAGUAAAUUCUUUGUAAUUCCCACAAAUCUUUACCUAAAGAAACAGGAUGCAGAUAAAAUCCAGGAAAAUAUAGAAUCUAAAAAUGUUUACGAAACGGAAAGUGUUGGAAAUAAGGAGGAACAUCUAAGAGCAACAGUUACAAAAGCUGUAACUAGUAAGGAGACAACAGAAGACGUAGUAGAACAUAAUAUUAAUGAAAUUGCAACAACAGAAGAUGUUACUCCUAUAGUGGUAGCGGAAAAUCAACAAUUAAUGCCAAAAGACAUUAAUAAAACAAAUGAACAAACAAUUAUAUCCUGUUCUACAACUCACCCAACUAAUGAGAUUAAAAAUUUACCAGUUUCUUUAGAGGAAUUUAAAAAACUUACACAUUUCGAUGAAGUUGUGGAGAAAUUAUUUAAAAUUAAAGCUCAAGAUAAUGAAGAACUUUUUAAUAAAUAUAAAAAUUCUCAGGAAGCUUUUAACACUACUGCUUUUAAUUAUUAUCAAGCUUUCUAUUUAAUACCCAUCAUACGAGAAACGUUUCCUAUACGUUUUAAACCUAUGCCAAGUUCUUUAAAAAAUCGUUUAUUACAAAUACCUAAAGGUAUAGAUAAGACAACACUGAAUAAUUUUAGAAUAGAGGAACUUGUUUCGGUGGAAUUUAAUGCAGAUGUUGAGGUUGAAAAGGAGGCAGUAACUGCUAGUCGAGAAGAGGUUACGAAAGCUUCAAACAACUCUAAUACAUCUCAAACAUCCCCUACAAACACAUCUACGAUCACCAUAAAAACAGAAAAGGAUACAGAAAGUUCAGAUUCAGAUAACAAAACAAAUUCACUUUCUGCUGGUAGCUUAAAGAGGAACACAACUGAGGAUAUGAAAUGUCCUUUGCGAAAACGUCAAAAAACACAACAAACUCAAGAUUAUGAGGAAAAUACUCAAAAAACUAAAAAAUCUUAUAAAGAACUAUUACCCUAUGCCCACUGUUGUCCCGUAACAUUUUCAGAUUUUCGCAAAUAUACCAAUGUUUCGGAAUUAUUUGCUGGCUAUUGUCAAAAACGUUAUAAUAGUCUUAAAAAAUUACCCUAUAUGUUACAACGUGCUUAUGUUCUCUAUUAUUUAGCUCCGGAAAAUAGACAAUUUAAACCUUUUAGCAAGUUAAUAACUUUAGAUGAAUGUCCGGCAGAUUUAAGGGAGAAAAUGCAUCAAAUACCAGAAAAACUCUACUUAAAAGGACAAAAUGCUACAGAACAAAUGGACAUAGAUGAAAUGCAAACUGAAACGUUUAAAGAAAAUCAAUCUGAAAAUUUAAAUCCCCAACAAACAGCUUCAACAAAUGCUAAAAAUAAACGAAAUAGUAUAGAGAUAUUAGAAAAUCGUUUAUUGCCUCCCACACAUAUACCAUUUACAGGACAAGUUAAUGUGGUCAGUCAAUGUCUAAAUAACAAUUGCGUUUUCCAUUACAUCACCCAUGUAGACUUUAUUCAGUUGUCAAAUAUUUUAUACAUAUUACCUGAACCAUCUGAAAUUGCAAUAAUACAAAGUUUUAAAAAAUUUGUUUAUCGUUUACUCAAAGAGAAAAGUUGCGAAAUAGAGUACAAUAUUAGCGCAUCCUUAUUGUGUAAACUUUUUAAAUAUAAUAAAAUGUGUGAAAUAUGUGAAAAAGAUGUAAUGGCUCUUUUUAAGCAGGAUUCACUAACAGCAUGCAAUGAAUCGGCAAAUGAGAAUAGUCUUACACAUGCUGCCAACAAUGUAACUGUCAAUGAAAGAAUGGAUUCGAGCAAUGAAAGAAUGCAAACAAACCAGGAAGCCACAACAGUUGAAACGGAUUCAAGGCAAUCUCAGGCAGUUCAUAAAAGUUCAAACACUUGUUCCACGGAAAGUGACACGAAAAGCGGUCAAAGUCCGAUACAAGACACACCUCAGAUACAAGAAAAAUCACAAAAUUUAUGGAAAAAUUUAAAGUCCGAAAAAAUUUUUCAAAAGUUUUGUCACAAACUUUUAACUAAACUUAAACAAAGCUUUGAUAAUGCCAUAGAUUUUUCUUCUGAUACUUAUGAAAUCUUUUUGCAAUGUAAUGAAAUUCCUAUGGAAAAACUUUUAAAUGAUUUUUGCUUAAACAACAAAGAUAUUGUGGAACGUAUAUUAAAUAAUAAAGAAUUAUAUGAAGCAUUGCAAUGUUAUUUUUACUACAAAUAUUUAACGAAUACAAAUUUCGCCUUAAAAUAUCCGGUGACAAUAAAGGAAAAUGCUAAAGAAACUCAAGGCGAUAAAAGCAAUACAACGAUAACGGAGCCAAAUAAGGAAAAAACACCUCUUAAAACAAAUGGAUUUAAGAACACAACUCCUAAAGCUACUGAAAAACAAAAUAAUAUUGUUAAUCAAGAAACAAAAUCACCAGAAAAACCAACAAACAAUAAUAAUAUAAUAGAAAAAGCCAAACGUAUAUUCUUUCGCAAUGUGGAAAAGACCAAUACUCUCUCCUAUAUACUAUGCACUUCAUUUGGUCUUAAACAAUUGAUUUUGCGCACCAUUUUAUCGUUAACAUUUCAAGAAUUCCUACAACUCACCAGUAUUUACGAAGGCAAACAAUUGUAUAACGAUAAACAUUUAACCGAAUGUAUGUAUCGUUAUGUCUUUGAUACUCCCGUAGUAUGGCCUACGAAUCUCUUUAUAACCCUUAAAGAUUUGUGUGAAUUUUUGCAUAUGAAAAAUAUACGUUUCACUGAUUAUUCCACUAUGUUAAAGUAUAUUUCACCAAAAUUAUUACACUGGUCUGUUCUGUUGUCGUGUACGAAUAUUUUGGAUUGCGUUAAAAUUGAUUAUGAAAAGCGUUCGGGAAAAUUACUAGAUACUGAUGAUAUUAAAACGUUAAAACAGGAAUGUAUUGAAUAUUAUAAUCGUUGUUGGAAAUAUGAAAAAUGGCUGGGAGGAGUACCUUUGGUUAAUGAGGAGUUUUAUAAGGAUUAUUUAAUUAGUAAUGAUCAAGGUGAUGCCACUAUGUUAGAUGAAUCAGCUCUGCAAGAAAUUUGUGUAGAGCCCGACGAAGUUUCAGAUGAUGUUGCAUUGAUUAAUAAUGAUACAGAAGAAUUAGAACCAGAUGAUUCAUAUCAAAAUAAAAGUUUAGAUCCGAAUUCUGCAGCAGAAAUUCGAGACGAAAUACCAACGGUAAUAAACCCAUCUCAAAAUCAAUCUAUAAAAGAAUUUAAUUGUGUUCUACUACCCAACACACAACAACAAAUUGAAAUGCUACCGGCGGAAGCAAGAGUUUCAAAUGAUCCCCUAAAUAACAGUAACAAUGGAAACACAUUAAAUGUAACUUCUUCAACUAAUAGUGAAAAUUAUGAAGUCGUAUGUUUGGGUGAACUUAUCGCUAAUGACAUAAAAUCUGAGCCAAAUAAUAGUAAAUUAUUAACUGAUUUAAUAUUCUACGAGGAUGAGAACAGUAAUAUGCAAUGUGAGCCCUUUUUGCAGGAGAUAGUUAAUUUAGAUGAUUCAACAACAGAAGUUGGUGAAAAUUUACCACCUUCUCAAAUAGAAUUUAGCGAUGCCGUACCAGAACUUAUGUUAUCCACAGAUUUGGCAAAUAGUGAAAGUAGUAAUUCUAUUAUGAAUUUGGCGCAACGUCUGCCAAGUUCGGCAGAAUCGUAUAAUGAAAUUCCAGUAACUCAACAGCAAUUUGUACAGGAACAACAGAAUGCACCCGUAAUACAAAUGAUUAAUGUUAGCUUAAGAAGUAGCGGUGAGAAUGGAAGUCAAGAAAAGCAACAACAGGAAAUGAAUUUAAAAGAUAGCGCAAGAGAAUUAGAAAUAAUAAAAGUAAAUAGUCAAGAAUUUGAAUUAUUACAAACAUCUUUGCAAAGUUUUGCAGUAUAUGCUGAGGCUCAACGUUUUCCUAGUACCUUUGAAGAAACACCAACUUGUAGUGGUUCGUUAAGGGCAGAACCAACAACUUCAAUUGUAUUACAGCCGGAGCUAAUUGAGUCAACCUCAAAUAUGGAACAUUUAAAUGUACCUUUGCCUUCUAAUGAAAUACCACAAGAAGCAGCUACUUUAAAUGCUUCACAACCAUCAACACAACCCACUACUUCUCUACCCAAACGUCGGGGGUUUGAAAAGACUUAUGCCAGAGUAAAAAAUGGCAAAAGCGUGGCAACAGUUAGACCUAUAAAAAAUUCCAAUUUUGUACCACAAAUUCAACAUAAUACCCGUCCUUUGCAAACCAAACCGGCCUAUGCACCUACAACAGCUUCUGAAACUACAACUAUUUCAGAACAACCUCCCUGCUCAAGUUUAACUCCUAUAGAGGAGGACAAUGCAGUAACAAAUGAGCAAUCUGUGGAUAAUCUACCACCUGUUGGUACCACUAUACAAAUUUCUCAAGAAUUCCAAAAAAAUUGUUCAGUUUUUAAUAAUACUUCACUCUUGAGACUUGUUGAUCAUAAUUAUCAAAAACAAAGUCAAACAAGUUUAUCAUCAUCAUUACCCUCAACACAAACACAAAACGAAGGGAAUCAUCAGCAGUUGCAGACCUUUUCUUUAACAUUGACACAAACUGAACAUAAAGAAGCAACAGAAAGUCAAAAACAACAGCCUGCUCGGAGAUCUACAAGAAGAAGUUCUAUGUUAGGUUCACAGCCUACUAAUCCACCACAAAAUACUGUCAGCACCACCACCACGACUUCUAAUCAAAUAAAUCCUCCUGCCUCUCCCACAAGAGCAACACGUAGUAGAAGUAGUUUAUGCAAAGAUGCCAAUGAUAAGAAUUUUUAUAUACGUAUUAGAAAACUUUAAAUUAUACUUUUAAAGGUUUUAUAUUGGCUAUUAUAUUGUUAUUGUUUACACAUUCAAUUAACAACUUUUAUUGAUUUAAAAAAUGGGGCUUACUUGCUGCUAAAAUUCCCUAACACGUUUAAUUGCUUUAUUUUCGCAAUAAAAUGAUGAUUAUAAUAAACGUUUUUUUAGGUUAGGAUUAAUUUUCAACAUUUAAAAUUUUAUCAGUUUCUUAGUUCGUAAUCAUUAUGAUUUAUUGUAAAGCACUUAUUAAAACCCUUAUUUAAAUAAAUUUAAAUUUUCUUUGCUUGAGUGAUUAAAGUUUUUUCAAAACAAAAGAUUAA